RNAcentral lists this transfer RNA (92 nucleotides) under Burkholderia stagnalis. Its description in RNAcentral is "tRNA-Arg". The record is from RNAcentral. Lineage: Bacteria; Pseudomonadati; Pseudomonadota; Betaproteobacteria; Burkholderiales; Burkholderiaceae.
GCGCACACUGCUCGACGCGCACGUGCGGGCCUGCGGCGACGGCAGCGGCGUCGACCCGGUCGCGCCGCCGUUCGAAUCGGCCGUGUACGCGC